RNAcentral lists this long non-coding RNA (330 nucleotides) under Pan troglodytes (chimpanzee). Its description in RNAcentral is "long non-coding RNA NONPTRT002183". Lineage: Eukaryota; Metazoa; Chordata; Mammalia; Primates; Hominidae. The record is from RNAcentral.
CAGUAUAUUUGUUGUUACUCCCUCUACAUGUCAAAAGAUAGGGUUUUCUCCCCCAAAACAGAAAGUCGGGUUGGAAGUACUGAUACACACUACAACAUGGAUAAAAGUUGAAAACAUUAUGCUAGGUGAAAGAAGCUAGUUACGAAUGGCUACGUAUUGUAUGACUUUCUUUAUACGAAAUGUCCAUAAUGGCAAAUCUAGAAAGAUGGAAAGUAAAUUGGUGAUUGACUUGGGCUUGGGGGCAGUGUAGUGAUGGGGAACAGGAGUGGACUGCUAAUGAGUACAGACUUUCUUUUUGGAGGAAAAAAGUCAUCUAAGCUUAGAUUGUGG